Molecule: ribosomal RNA, 250 nt
Filed under: uncultured bacterium
Lineage: Bacteria
Description: partial 16S ribosomal RNA
Rfam family: Bacterial small subunit ribosomal RNA
Source: RNAcentral
UAGAUACCCUGGUAGUCCACACCGUAAACGAUGAAUGCUAAGUGUUGGAGGGUUUCCGCCCUUCAGUGCUGCAGCUAACGCAAUAAGCAUUCCGCCUGGGGAGUACGACCGCAAGGUUGAAACUCAAAGGAAUUGACGGGGGCCCGCACAAGCGGUGGAGCAUGUGGUUUAAUUCGAAGCAACGCGAAGAACCUUACCAGGUCUUGACAUCUUUUGACCAUCUUAGAGAUAAGAUUUUCCCUUCGGGGAC